Molecule: ribosomal RNA, 484 nt
Filed under: uncultured bacterium
Lineage: Bacteria
Description: bacterial SSU rRNA
Rfam family: Bacterial small subunit ribosomal RNA
Source: RNAcentral
CUCAGAUUGAACGCUGGCGGCAGGCUUAACACAUGCAAGUCGAACGGUAACAGAGAAUAGCUUGCUAUUUUGCUGACGAGUGGCGGACGGGUGAGUAAUGCUUGGGAAUUUGCCGAAAGGUGGGGGACAACAGUUGGAAACGACUGCUAAUACCGCAUAAUGUCUACGGACCAAAGGUGGCCUCUAUUUAUAUGCUAUCGCCUUUCGAUGAGCCCAAGUGGGAUUAGUUAGUUGGUAAGGUAAUGGCUUACCAAGGCGACGAUCCCUAGCUGGUCUUAGAGGAUGACCAGCCACACUGGAACUGAGACACGGUCCAGACUCCUACGGGAGGCAGCAGUGGGGAAUAUUGCACAAUGGGGGGAACCCUGAUGCAGCCAUGCCGCGUGUGUGAAGAAGGCUUUCGGGUUGUAAAGCACUUUCAGCGAGGAGGAAAGGACAUAGAUUAAUACUCUAUGUCUGUGACGUUACUCGCAGAAGAACGAGU